RNAcentral lists this ribosomal RNA (355 nucleotides) under uncultured bacterium. RNAcentral describes it as "bacterial SSU rRNA". It matches the Rfam family "Bacterial small subunit ribosomal RNA", at positions 29 to 412 of the family's 1533-position model. The record is from RNAcentral.
AACGAACGCUGGCGGCAUGCCUAACACAUGCAAGUCGAACGAAGUCUUCGGACUUAGUGGCGCACGGGUGCGUAACGCGUGGGAAUCUGCCCUUGGGUGCGGAAUAACUUCUCGAAAGGGAUGCUAAUACCGCAUAAUGUCGUAAGACUAAAGAUUUAUCGCCCAAGGAUGAGCCCGCGUAAGAUUAGCUAGUUGGUGGGGUAAAAGCCUACCAAGGCGACGAUCUUUAGCUGGUCUGAGAGGAUGAUCAGCCACACUGGGACUGAGACACGGCCCAGACUCCUACGGGAGGCAGCAGUGGGGAAUAUUGGACAAUGGGCAAAGCCUGAUCCAGCAAUGCCGCGUGAGUGAUGAA